RNAcentral lists this ribosomal RNA (541 nucleotides) under Naganishia diffluens. RNAcentral describes it as "partial large subunit ribosomal RNA". It matches the Rfam family "Eukaryotic large subunit ribosomal RNA", at positions 106 to 651 of the family's 3401-position model. Lineage: Eukaryota; Fungi; Basidiomycota; Tremellomycetes; Filobasidiales; Filobasidiaceae. The record is from RNAcentral.
AGCUCAAAUUUGAAAUCUAGUAGCCUUCGGCUGCUCGAGUUGUAAUCUAGAGAAGUGUUUUCCGUGCCGGCCCAUGUACAAGUCCCUUGGAACAGGGCGUCAUAGAGGGUGAGAAUCCCGUCCUUGACAUGGACCCCCGGUGCUCUGUGAUACACUUUCAACGAGUCGAGUUGUUUGGGAAUGCAGCUCAAAAUGGGUGGUGAAUUCCAUCUAAAGCUAAAUAUUGGCGAGAGACCGAUAGCGAACAAGUACCGUGAGGGAAAGAUGAAAAGCACUUUGGAAAGAGAGUUAAACAGUACGUGAAAUUGUUGAAAGGGAAACGAUUGAAGUCAGUCAUGCUCUUUGGUAUUUAUAUCAUUGAGUGGGGUCAACAUCAGUUUUGAGCGAUGGAUAAAGGCACUAGGAAGGUAGCACUCUCGGGUGAACUUAUAGCCUAGCGUCAUAUACAUUGUUUGGGACUGAGGAACGCAGCAUGCCUUUAUGGCCGGGAUUCGUCCACGUACAUGCUUAGGAUGUUGACAUAAUGGNUUUAAACGACCCG